Homo sapiens (human) is the source of this 891-nucleotide long non-coding RNA. RefSeq lists it as uncharacterized. The transcript has 2 exons. The record is from RefSeq and is a predicted model, not a curated record. Lineage: Eukaryota; Metazoa; Chordata; Mammalia; Primates; Hominidae.
CUUGGCCUCCCAAAGUGCUGGGAUUACAGGUGUGAGCCACCACACUCGGCCACUAUCUUUUAAAAAUUUAUUUACACAAAGGGAAUGCUACUAAGUACACCAUACUGCGCCUCUCAUUAAAAAUUAUUUUUAACAAUUUUAAGCGGAAGGGUGGGACACUGAGCAUAUAUUAGAAACACACACUCACGCCUCUGUAGCAUUUAGCAUCAUAGAGCACCAGAGAAUCUUGUAUGUUUUUCCUUCAGUGGCUUAUGCAGUGCUUUAUGGUUUUCCUGGUUCUCCGGCCAGUUUCUUCACUGGGCUCUCCUUUUCUACGUGAGUGCAGAUAUAAGCCAGGAAUUCCGACGUGUGUAAAUUCUGAUAGCGAUACACUGGGGAUACAACAAUGAACAUGUUUCAUUCCACACGUGUUCAUCAAAUAUCUACUCCAUCACAGUCGUCUGUCUAAACAGGAUGGUUCCUGCCCUCAUAAAGUAGAGCAAGUAGCUCCUGAAGGCAUUUGAGUAUAUGAUCCCGUCUCAUUCUGUGCAUUGUGGUCUGCUCAAGCUUCCUAAAGCAACGCAUCUUGCCCCUGCUCAAUUAUCAUUGGCUCCUCUUGCCUGCCAUAGAACUUAAGCAAGUAUUCGAAAGCACUUCUCAGUCCAGGUGGGCCUGUUCUUCCCUUGUUAUCUUCCAUUACCCUCUGUACCCACCUUGCUCUCCCAACAAACCAAUCCCCACUCUGGGCCCCCGAUUCACUUGCAGUGUCCUUCCUACCACAUUUCUAUGCUCAACUCUUGCCUGUCCUGCAAGUCUCAGGUUUAUUGACAGGUGUUCCAGAGGUCUUCCCGGAAGUACCCAGGCCCUCUGACUAAUGCUGGGGAUAAAAAUAAAACAUACAAUUUAAAAAUA